GUCCUCUUGAUUAUAUUUUGAGGUCUGGCCUGCUCACUGACAAGGUUUUAAAGAGCCGCGGUAUUUUGACCGUGCAAAGGUAGCAUAAUCAUUAGUCUCUUAAUUAGGGGCUGGAAUGAAUGGCUUGACGAGAAAUCAACUGUCUCUUAAUAAUUUUUAAAAUUUAACUUUUGAGUCAAAAGGCUUAAAUUUUUCUUUAGGACGAGAAGACCCUAUAGAGCUUAACAUUAUAUUUUUAUAUAGUUUUUAGUUGAUCUUUCUAUAUUUAAUGAUAAUGUUUUGUUGGGGUGACAUGAAGAAUAAUUAAACUCUUCAUUAUAAAAUCAUUGAUUUAUGUUUAUCAUGAUCCAUAAUUUAUGAUCAUAAGAUUAAGUUACCUUAGGGAUAACAGCGUAAUUGUUUUCGAGAGCUCAUAUCGACAAAGCAGAUUGCGACCUCGAUGUUGGAUUAAGAAAAAUUUUGGGUGCAGGAGCCCAAUAAUUAGGUCUGUUCGACCUUUAAAUUCUUACA
This 510-nucleotide ribosomal RNA is filed under the name Calliptamus barbarus. Its description in RNAcentral is "partial large subunit ribosomal RNA". It matches the Rfam family "Bacterial large subunit ribosomal RNA", at positions 1830 to 2600 of the family's 2925-position model. The record is from RNAcentral. Lineage: Eukaryota; Metazoa; Arthropoda; Insecta; Orthoptera; Acrididae.